This 252-nucleotide ribosomal RNA is filed under the name uncultured bacterium. RNAcentral describes it as "partial 16S ribosomal RNA". It matches the Rfam family "Bacterial small subunit ribosomal RNA", at positions 524 to 776 of the family's 1533-position model. The record is from RNAcentral.
UACGAAGGGGGCUAGCGUUGCUCGGAAUCACUGGGCGUAAAGGGUGCGUAGGCGGGUCUUUAAGUCAGGGUGAAAUCCUGGAGCUCAACUCCAGAACUGCCCUUGAUACUGAGGAUCUUGAGUUCGGGAGAGGUGAGUGGAACUGCGAGUGUAGAGGUGAAAUUCGUAGAUAUUCGCAAGAACACCAGUGGCGAAGGCGGCUCACUGGCCCGAUACUGACGCUGAGGCACGAAAGCGUGGGGAGCAAACAGG